This 356-nucleotide small RNA is filed under the name uncultured fungus. RNAcentral describes it as "eukaryotic LSU rRNA". The stretch from base 1 to 84 matches the Rfam family "5.8S ribosomal RNA", at positions 73 to 154 of the family's 154-position model. Lineage: Eukaryota; Fungi. The record is from RNAcentral.
AGCAGAAUACAGUGAAUCAUCGAAUCUUUGAACGCACCUUGGCACCCUUUGGUAUUCCGUAAGGGUAUGCUCGUUUGAGUGUCAUUCGUACUCUCACACUCUCUGAUCCUUUGGAUUGGGAGAUGGUGGACAUUGGGUGUUGCUGCUGCUGUGUGGCUCACCUACUAAUAUGCAGUAGUGCACCUCCUGGUUGGACAUAUGUACGGCGUGAUAAGUGUCUUCGUCCGGCGCCUCGAAAGAGGGUGGCUGAUUGGGAGCUCUGUGCUUCAUAAACCGUCUUCGGACAAUCUCUGACAACUUGACCUCAAAUCGAGUAGGACUACCCGCGUGAACUUAAGCAUAUCAAUAAGCGGAGG